Molecule: long non-coding RNA, 606 nt
Organism: Peromyscus maniculatus bairdii (prairie deer mouse)
Lineage: Eukaryota; Metazoa; Chordata; Mammalia; Rodentia; Cricetidae
Source: RefSeq, a predicted model, not a curated record
CUGAUAUGCAACACCUGUGAAAGGGUCAUUUGACUCCCAAAGAGGUCACGACCCACAGAUUGAUAAUCACUGCCUAACCUGGUGGCUGGUAUUACCUGCAGUUCAGGAUAUUUGGAACAGCCUUUUAUCAACUUCUUUGGCUUUUAAACCUUAACCACUCUACACUUUGUCCACUUGCUCCAAUGUAUAGAUGGGAUCAGAUGUUGAGAUGAAAGCAUGACUCACCACCUUCCACUGCUUCCACUCCGUAUGCUGGUCCCCACUCAUUUUUCCUGACACAUCGUGCUGAUGAAGGGGAUGACAGCCUGUUCCCCACACUGUGGUCAUCAGUGUGCUGCAGCUGCUUCUGGAAGUAUAGGAUGAACAGACCAACUCAUAAUGAAGAGACAGAGAUUCAGAUAAGAACUGCUUUCUGUAUCUGAAAUUUCCAAUGAAAACCGUAAUAAGAGUAAAUCUGAAGAAAAGACAGCACAGUUCCUUAGGACUUUUAUGUUCAGGAAGAAGUGGAGAAUCUGAAAAUUAAGUGGCUAACCUGAAUUCACACAGCUACUCAGCAAAAGUAAUAGGACUAAUAAACAUACUGUCUCUUGGCUUUCUUUUUUUCAA